CCGGAAAGUCACCCAGUGGCCCCCGGUUGCUGUAGUGAGCCUGCGCCAGUCUGUAGAGAUGAAUUGCAACCAGAGUGCUUCUAAUAUCUACAUGUACUGGUAUCGACAGCAAAACUCCAGUGAGCUUCAACUGGUCUUUUCCUCUCCAUACGGCAGCGAUCCAGAAAAGGGUGAAAACAUCCCUGAUAGAUUUACUAUCUCCAGGACACAGAUGGAGAGAAUCACUCUAAAUAUAAAGAAUGCUGAGGCUGCAGACACUGGAGUGUAUUACUGUGCAGCUAGUGCCACAGUACACAAACCUAUCAGCCUUCCUGUCUGAAAACUCUACAAGGGGGCAGACAAGAGACAGAAACACACCAUGCAGCAACACACAAUAAUAUUCAAUACUGUGACUGUUUAGAAAAUGCUUCCCUCAUUUAACUUUGGUGUUCACUUGAUAACAUUGUAGGCCUUCCAGUUGUUCUACAUACCAUAUUGUUAGUUUUUAACUGCACACAAAAUCUUUCUCCUCCCUUGAAGUGUUGCCACUAACCGACUCAAAAUGGGCAUACCCCCUGUGAAGAAAAUGGCAGUGACGCCUUUAAGGAAUGGCGUCGAUGGAAAGGAAACUACACGUCCCAGAAGGCUCAGUGUCAAUUGGUAGGGCGGGGUUACACAGUUUAAAAGGAAGCAGAGCAGAACAAUCGGGGUGUUGUGUGAUUGUGGGGAACACUGCUCGAUUGUCCUGCCUGCGCAAGCUUUGGGGAAUCUAUCCUAUCUUCCUGUGUCUGUGGGAAAGCUAUAACGCAGCGUCUCAGUCAACCCUGAAAGUCACCCAGUGGCCCCCGGUUGCUGUAGUGAGCCUGCGCCAGUCUGUAGAGAUGAAUUGCAACCAGAGUGCUUCUAAUAUCUACAUGUACUGGUAUCGACAGCAAAACUCCAGUGAGCUUCAACUGGUCUUUUCCUCUCCAUACGGCAGCGAUCCAGAAAAGGGUGAAAACAUCCCUGAUAGAUUUACUAUCUCCAGGACACAGAUGGAGAGAAUCACUCUAAAUAUAAAGAAUGCUGAGGCUGCAGACACUGGAGUGUAUUACUGUGCAGCUAGUGCCACAGUACACAAACCUAUCAGCCUUCCUGUCUGAAAACUCUACAAGGGGGCAGACAAGAGACAGAAACACACCAUGCAGCAACACACAAUAAUAUUCAAUACUGUGACUGUUUAGAAAAUGCUUCCCUCAUUUAACUUUGGUGUUCACUUGAUAACAUUGUAGGCCUUCCAGUUGUUCUACAUACCAUAUUGUUAGUUUUUAACUGCACACAAAAUCUUUCUCCUCCCUUGAAGUGUUGCCACUAACCGACUCAAAAUGGGCAUACCCCCUGUGAAGAAAAUGGCAGUGACGCCUUUAAGGAAUGGCGUCGAUGGAAAGGAAACUACACGUCCCAGAAGGCUCAGUGUCAAUUGGUAGGGCGGGGUUACACAGUU
Non-coding RNA from Acipenser ruthenus (sterlet), 1462 nucleotides. The record is from the annotation of a RefSeq genome assembly. NCBI's taxonomy places the organism in Eukaryota, Metazoa, Chordata, Actinopteri, Acipenseriformes, Acipenseridae.